Molecule: unclassified non-coding RNA, 346 nt
Filed under: Hevea brasiliensis (rubber tree)
Lineage: Eukaryota; Viridiplantae; Streptophyta; Magnoliopsida; Malpighiales; Euphorbiaceae
Source: RNAcentral
CUCUAGCACCUUAUGCGCCUAGGCAUUCGCCUUUGUUUCAGGCACAAGCUUUUAGAAAGGCAUACCCUCUUUAUUUUCACCUUUAGCAAGCACUCUCAUUGGCAAAAAGCACCACUGCUUAAACUUGAUAUUUGUCGAUCUAUAAGAAUCCUACACACUACGAAGUUUUUAGAAUCAAUAUGUGAUAACUAGUCAUCAAAACCUCAUCAAACCAACACCUCCAAAAUCGCAAAAUCUCCCAUAUUUCCAUUUUCAAUACUACCACUCAUCUUUUUCAAAUAAAAAAAAGUUGAUACUCCUUUAAUUCUAAAAGAUGAGGAAAAUAAUGAAGAUAUUGAUUUUGAAG